RNAcentral lists this transfer RNA (73 nucleotides) under Felis catus (domestic cat). It matches the Rfam family "tRNA". Rfam says of the family: Transfer RNA (tRNA) molecules are approximately 80 nucleotides in length. Their secondary structure includes four short double-helical elements and three loops (D, anti-codon, and T loops). Lineage: Eukaryota; Metazoa; Chordata; Mammalia; Carnivora; Felidae. The record is from Rfam by way of RNAcentral.
ACCUGAUUGGCUCAGUUGGUAGAGCGUGCGACUCUUGAUCUCAGGGUCAUGAGUUCAAGCCCCAUGCUGGGUA